This is a small nucleolar RNA of Juglans regia (Persian walnut), 87 nucleotides long. RefSeq annotates it as small nucleolar RNA Z102/R77. The record is from RefSeq and is a predicted model, not a curated record. The transcript has a single exon. NCBI's taxonomy places the organism in Eukaryota, Viridiplantae, Streptophyta, Magnoliopsida, Fagales, Juglandaceae.
UAAUGAAUAGAAGAUCGAUGUUUCCCUAUCGGCCGCUUGAUUGUCAUGAUGAUGGCAUCCCUAAGUAUUAGUUCUAUCUUAUCACUA